GUUACGGAGAUCCCUAAAGCUAGCCCUGAUUGAUCCGGCAAGCUUAACUCCCCCUUAUUUGUGGCCUCCCAGACACCAUAAAGACAAAUGUAGCUACUCUCCAAGACCACAUACAAACUGCCUGUGCUAUAAAUGCUGCCCUGGAUGCCACACAGCUGGCUGAUCUUGUUUGCCAAAACUUUGUGGCUACCUCCACAGACAGAUUUAUUUGGGAUCCUGUCCUCAGAUCGCUUCAGGCUAGGUGCCUGAGAACUUUGGCCAAUUUUGGAGGGAGGUACCUGCCUGGGUACUUUCACUUCCCUUCGCUGAUCAUGUUUUGAAAAACUUUUGAGCUAGCUC
Molecule: long non-coding RNA, 339 nt
Organism: Cygnus olor (mute swan)
Lineage: Eukaryota; Metazoa; Chordata; Aves; Anseriformes; Anatidae
Exons: 3
Source: RefSeq, a predicted model, not a curated record